RNAcentral lists this ribosomal RNA (441 nucleotides) under uncultured bacterium. RNAcentral describes it as "bacterial SSU rRNA". It matches the Rfam family "Bacterial small subunit ribosomal RNA", at positions 958 to 1398 of the family's 1533-position model. The record is from RNAcentral.
AACGCGAAGAACCUUACCUGCCCUUGACAUGUCAGGAAUCUUACAGAGAUGUAGGAGUGCCUUCGGGAACCUGAACACAGGUGCUGCAUGGCUGUCGUCAGCUCGUGUCGUGAGAUGUUGGGUUAAGUCCCGUAACGAGCGCAACCCUUGUCCUUAGUUACCAGCACGUUAUGGUGGGAACUCUAAGGAGACUGCCGGUGACAAACCGGAGGAAGGUGGGGAUGACGUCAAGUCCUCAUGGCCCUUAUGGGCAGGGCUACACACGUGCUACAAUGGUCGGUACAGAGAGUUGCCAACCCGCGAGGGGGAGCUAAUCUCACAAAACCGAUCUCAGUCCGGAUUGAGGUCUGCAACUCGACCCCAUGAAGCUGGAAUCGCUAGUAAUCGUGGAUCAGAACGCCACGGUGAAUACGUUCCCGGGCCUUGUACACACCGUAGUAC